This 72-nucleotide transfer RNA is filed under the name Rugositalea oryzae. RNAcentral's name for it is "Rhodoplanes sp. Z2-YC6860 tRNA". It matches the Rfam family "tRNA". Rfam says of the family: Transfer RNA (tRNA) molecules are approximately 80 nucleotides in length. Their secondary structure includes four short double-helical elements and three loops (D, anti-codon, and T loops). The record is from Rfam by way of RNAcentral. Lineage: Bacteria; Pseudomonadati; Pseudomonadota; Alphaproteobacteria; Hyphomicrobiales; Nitrobacteraceae.
GGGCCCGUAGCUCAGCGGUAGAGCACUCGACUUUUAAUCGAGUGGUCGAUGGUUCGAAUCCAUCCGGGCUCA